AUGCAGAGAUUGUGUGUA
This 18-nucleotide non-coding RNA is filed under the name Arabidopsis thaliana (thale cress). The record is from RNAcentral. Lineage: Eukaryota; Viridiplantae; Streptophyta; Magnoliopsida; Brassicales; Brassicaceae.